CAUAACUUUUUACUGGAUGUACCGAUUUUGAUAAUUCUUUUUUUGUUGGAAUGGGGAUAUCCCUAGUUUGGUACCAUGAUAAGGAAACCAGGAUCUGAUGAUGGGAUCCCAGAGAAAUCGAGGGAAACUUUCAAAAAUCGUAAGGGUGACUAGUAAAUUUAAUCAUGUUUUCAUUAAGUACUAUAAAGCACUACUAUAUAAUAAAGGUCUGGAGUCGAUCUGAUGAUGGAGAAGAAAGAUAGUCGAGGGAACUCUUCAACAAUUUAUAGCAAUUACCUGCUGUUUGAACUUAAUUCGUUUCUAUUGAUGAGAACUUUGCACCUGUAUGAGUUAUAAGUGCCAUUACAGUCUGAUGAUGGAGACAAAAGUUAGUCGAGGGAACUCUUUAACGAUUUAUAGCAAUU
RNAcentral lists this unclassified non-coding RNA (404 nucleotides) under Melitaea cinxia (Glanville fritillary). RNAcentral's name for it is "misc RNA ENSMCXG00005010418.1". Lineage: Eukaryota; Metazoa; Arthropoda; Insecta; Lepidoptera; Nymphalidae. The record is from RNAcentral.